This 74-nucleotide transfer RNA is filed under the name bacterium. RNAcentral's name for it is "tRNA-Ile". It matches the Rfam family "tRNA". From Rfam's summary of the family: Transfer RNA (tRNA) molecules are approximately 80 nucleotides in length. Their secondary structure includes four short double-helical elements and three loops (D, anti-codon, and T loops). Further hydrogen bonds mediate the characteristic L-shaped molecular structure. tRNAs have two regions of fundamental functional importance: the anti-codon, which is responsible for specific mRNA codon recognition, and the 3' end, to which the tRNAs corresponding amino acid is attached (by aminoacyl-tRNA synthetases). tRNAs cope with the degeneracy of the genetic code in two manners: having more than one tRNA (with a specific anti-codon) for a particular amino acid; and 'wobble' base-pairing, i.e. permitting non-standard base-pairing at the 3rd anti-codon position. The record is from RNAcentral. RNAcentral also lists the same sequence under 6 other names.
GGGCCUAUAGCUCAGUUGGUUAGAGCACCUGACUCAUAAUCAGGUGGUCCCAGGUUCGAGUCCUGGUGGGCCCA